Molecule: unclassified non-coding RNA, 101 nt
Organism: Otolemur garnettii (small-eared galago)
Lineage: Eukaryota; Metazoa; Chordata; Mammalia; Primates; Galagidae
Rfam family: Y RNA
About the family: Y RNAs are components of the Ro ribonucleoprotein particle (Ro RNP), in association with Ro60 and La proteins.
Source: Ensembl
GGGUGGUCUGAGUGCAGUGGUGUUUACAACUAUUGAUUACAGCCAGUUACAGGUUCCUUUAUCCUUUCUCCACUCCCACUGCUUCACUUGAUGAGUAUAUU